RNAcentral lists this ribosomal RNA (564 nucleotides) under Streptomyces olivochromogenes. RNAcentral's name for it is "bacterial SSU rRNA". It matches the Rfam family "Bacterial small subunit ribosomal RNA", at positions 93 to 671 of the family's 1533-position model. The record is from RNAcentral. Lineage: Bacteria; Bacillati; Actinomycetota; Actinomycetes; Kitasatosporales; Streptomycetaceae. RNAcentral also lists the same sequence under 1 other name.
UAGUGGCGAACGGGUGAGUAACACGUGGGCAAUCUGCCCUUCACUCUGGGACAAGCCCUGGAAACGGGGUCUAAUACCGGAUAAUACUCUGUCCCGCAUGGGACGGGGUUGAAAGCUCCGGCGGUGAAGGAUGAGCCCGCGGCCUAUCAGCUUGUUGGUGGGGUGAUGGCCUACCAAGGCGACGACGGGUAGCCGGCCUGAGAGGGCGACCGGCCACACUGGGACUGAGACACGGCCCAGACUCCUACGGGAGGCAGCAGUGGGGAAUAUUGCACAAUGGGCGAAAGCCUGAUGCAGCGACGCCGCGUGAGGGAUGACGGCCUUCGGGUUGUAAACCUCUUUCAGCAGGGAAGAAGCGAAAGUGACGGUACCUGCAGAAGAAGCGCCGGCUAACUACGUGCCAGCAGCCGCGGUAAUACGUAGGGCGCAAGCGUUGUCCGGAAUUAUUGGGCGUAAAGAGCUCGUAGGCGGCUUGUCACGUCGGAUGUGAAAGCCCGGGGCUUAACCCCGGGUCUGCAUUCGAUACGGGCUAGCUAGAGUGUGGUAGGGGAGAUCGGAAUUCCU